UAUGUUCUUCGUGAACAUGGCGUACUGCUCAGUAACACGUGGAUAACCUGCCCUUGGGUCCGGCAUAACCCCGGGAAACUGGGGAUAAUUCCGGAUAACGCACAUAUGCUGGAAUGCUUUAUGCGUCAAAUGGAUUCGUCUGCCCAAGGAUGGGUCUGCGGCCUAUCAGGUAGUAGUGGGUGUAAUGUACCUACUAGCCGACGACGGGUACGGGUUGUGAGAGCAAGAGCCCGGAGAUGGAUUCUGAGACAUGAAUCCAGGCCCUACGGGGCGCAGCAGGCGCGAAAACUUUACAAUGCGGGAAACCGUGAUAAGGGGACACCGAGUGCCAGCAUCAUAUGCUGGCUGUCCGGGUGUGUAAAAUACACCUGUUAGCAAGGGCCGGGCAAGACCGGUGCCAGCCGCCGCGGUAACACCGGCGGCCCGAGUGGUGAUCGUGAUUAUUGGGUCUAAAGGGUCCGUAGCCGGUUUGGUCAGUCCUCCGGGAAAUCUGACGGCUUAACCGUUAGGCUUUCGGAGGAUACUGCCAGGCUUGGAACCGGGAGAGGUAAGAGGUACUACAGGGGUAGGAGUGAAAUCUUGUAAUCCCUGUGGGACCACCUGUGGCGAAGGCGUCUU
This 618-nucleotide ribosomal RNA is filed under the name Methanosarcina sp. enrichment culture clone B08. Its description in RNAcentral is "bacterial SSU rRNA". It matches the Rfam family "Archaeal small subunit ribosomal RNA", at positions 61 to 678 of the family's 1478-position model. The record is from RNAcentral. Lineage: Archaea; Methanobacteriati; Methanobacteriota; Methanomicrobia; Methanosarcinales; Methanosarcinaceae.